Molecule: ribosomal RNA, 253 nt
Filed under: uncultured bacterium
Lineage: Bacteria
Description: partial 16S ribosomal RNA
Rfam family: Bacterial small subunit ribosomal RNA
Source: RNAcentral
GACGAGCCUCACUAACGUUAUUCGGAAUUACUGGGCUUAAAGGGUGCGUAGGCGGCGCGGAAAGUUGGGUGUGAAAUCCCUCAGCUUAACUGAGGAAGGGCGCCCAAAACUACCGUGCUCGAGGGAGAUAGAGGAGUGCGGAACUUAGGGUGGAGCGGUGAAAUGCGUUGAUAUCCUAGGGAACACCGGUGGCGAAAGCGGCACUCUGGAUCUCUUCUGACGCUGAGGCACGAAAGCUAGGGUAGCAAACGGG